GACGUAUAAGAGAGCAUAAUGAAUACCCAAGUUUCCAAUGGAUCACUGAAGUUAAGCACCAUUGCACAUGGUUUGUAUUUGAAUGAGUGAUCACUUGGACCAUGUCUUUUGAGGUU
This 116-nucleotide ribosomal RNA is filed under the name Diaphorina citri (Asian citrus psyllid). The record is from RNAcentral. Lineage: Eukaryota; Metazoa; Arthropoda; Insecta; Hemiptera; Psyllidae.